UAGCGUAUAUGUAAAUUGUUGCGGUUGAAAAGCUCGUAGUUGGACUUCUGGCGACCGCGGUCGGUCCGCCUCGUGCGAGCACUGACCGCGGCCGUCGUUUCUGUCGACGGUGCGCGUCGGGCUUCACUGGUCGGUGCGUUCUCUGUCGGCGACGUUACUUUGAGGAAAUCAGAGUGCUUAAGGCAAGCGUUCGCUCGUGACUUCACUAGCAUGGAAUAACACAGAUGGGCUCUUUCUCGCAAUGUUGGUCUGCGUCAAUUGAGCAACGAUCGAUAGAGACGGUCGGGGGCAUUCGUAUUGCGCAGUUAGAGGUGAAAUUCUCCGAUCUGCGCAAGACGCACUAAUGCGAAAGCAGUUGCCAAGGACGUCCUCUUAUGAUCAAGAGCGAAAGUCGGGGGAUCAAAGAUGAUUAGAUACCGUCGUAGUCCCGACCAUAAAUGAUGCCGACUGAGCGUCGGCGACUCGGCUCUUGGCCGAACGUCGGCGCUCUUGAGAGAAAUUAAAGUCUUUGGGCUCCGGGGGUAGUAUGGUCGCAAGUCUGAAACUUGAAGGAAUUGACGGAAGGGCACCACAAGGCGUGGAUGUUGCGGCUUAAUUUGACUCAACACGGGAAAGCUUACUAGGUUUGGACACUUGAAUGAGGGACAUAUUGAAGCUCUUACCUUUUUUUGUGGAUGGUGGUGCAUGGUCGUUCUCAGCCCGUGGGUUGACCUGUCAGGUUUACUCCGGUAACGCGCGAGACCUCGGUUUGCUAAAUAGACGCGGCUGUCGCGGCACCCGCGCUCUUCUUAGAGAGAGACUUGGCGCGAGUCAAGGGAAGUCGAGGCAAUAACAGAUCUGUGAUGCCCUUAGUUAUCCUAGGUCGCACGCGCCAUACAAUGUGGCGCACAACGAGUUUCCUUGGCCGACAGGAGCUGGGUAAUCUGGCAGAGCGCUACGUGACUGGGCUAGACUAUUGUAAUUGUUGGUCUUGAACGAGGAAUGCCUAGUAAUCGCAGGUCAUCAUCCUGCGAUGAUUCGGUCCCUGCCCUUUGUACACACCGCCCGUCGCUCCAUCCGUGGCAUGCGCCGGUGAAGAGGGGGAGGCAGCGUCGGGCCAGUAACAUGGCAUCGUACGUGGAACCCCUCUGAACCUUCGCACGUAGAGGAAGGAGAAGUCGUAACAAGGUUUUCGUAGGUGAACCUGCGAAAGGAUCAUUAUCGGCAC
This 1207-nucleotide ribosomal RNA is filed under the name Tydemania expeditionis. RNAcentral's name for it is "bacterial SSU rRNA". It matches the Rfam family "Eukaryotic small subunit ribosomal RNA", at positions 595 to 1831 of the family's 1831-position model. Lineage: Eukaryota; Viridiplantae; Chlorophyta; Ulvophyceae; Bryopsidales; Halimedaceae. The record is from RNAcentral.